RNAcentral lists this non-coding RNA (45 nucleotides) under Schistosoma mansoni. Lineage: Eukaryota; Metazoa; Platyhelminthes; Trematoda; Strigeidida; Schistosomatidae. The record is from RNAcentral.
AUCCAACUGAUGAGUCCCAAAUAGGACGGAAUGCGCGUCCUACAU